GAGUGUGUCUGGCAAAACAGGAACUGCUAAUUCCUCACCCCCAUGGUUCAACUCCAUGGCCCACUCG
RNAcentral lists this transfer RNA (67 nucleotides) under Kaloula sp. East Luzon. RNAcentral's name for it is "tRNA-Ser". Lineage: Eukaryota; Metazoa; Chordata; Amphibia; Anura; Microhylidae. The record is from RNAcentral.